RNAcentral lists this ribosomal RNA (498 nucleotides) under uncultured bacterium. RNAcentral's name for it is "partial 16S ribosomal RNA". It matches the Rfam family "Bacterial small subunit ribosomal RNA", at positions 30 to 523 of the family's 1533-position model. The record is from RNAcentral.
AUUGAACGCUGGCGGCAUGCCUUACACAUGCAAGUCGAACGGUAACAGGUCUUCGGAUGCUGACGAGUGGCGAACGGGUGAGUAAUACAUCGGAACGUGCCUAGUAGUGGGGGAUAACUACUCGAAAGAGUGGCUAAUACCGCAUGAGAUCUACGGAUGAAAGCAGGGGAUCGCAAGACCUUGUGCUACUAGAGCGGCCGAUGGCAGAUUAGGUAGGUGGUGGGAUAAAAGCUUACCAAGCCGACGAUCUGUAGCUGGUCUGAGAGGACGAUCAGCCACACUGGGAAUGAGAAACGGCCCAGACUCCUACGGGAGGCAGCAGUGGGGAAUUUUGGACAAUGGGCGCAAGCCUGAUCCAGCAAUGCCGCGUGCAGGAUGAAGGCCUUCGGGUUGUAAACUGCUUUUGUACGGAACGAAAAGCCCCGGGUUAAUACCCUGGGGUCAUGACGGUACCGUAAGAAUAAGCACCGGCUAACUACGUGCCAGCCGCCGCCGUAA